CGAUCGGUAGCCGGACUGAGAGGUUGAACGGCCACAUUGGGACUGAGACACGGCCCAGACUCCUACGGGAGGCAGCAGUGGGGAAUAUUGCACAAUGGGGGAAACCCUGAUGCAGCGACGCCGCGUGGAGGAAGAAGGUCUUCGGAUUGUAAACUCCUGUUGUUGAGGAAGAUAAUGACGGUACUCAACAAGGAAGUGACGGCUAACUACGUGCCAGCAGCCGCGGUAAAACGUAGGUCACAAGCGUUGUCCGGAAUUACUGGGUGUAAAGGGAGCGCAGGCGGGAAGACAAGUUGGAAGUGAAAUCCAUGGGCUCAACCCACGAACUGCUUUCAAAACUGUUUUUCUUGAGUAGUGCAGAGGUAGGCGGAAUUCCCGGUGUAGCGGUGGAAUGCGUAGAUAUCGGGAGGAACACCAGUGGCGAAGGCGGCCUACUGGGCACCAACUGACGCUGAGGCUCGAAAGUGUGGGUAGCAAACAGGAUUAGAUACCCUGGUAGUCCACACCGUAAACGAUGAUUACUAGGUGUUGGAGGAUUGACCCCUUCAGUGCCGCAGUUAACACAAUAAGUAAUCCACCUGGGGAGUACGACCGCAAGGUUGAAACUCAAAGGAAUUGACGGGGGCCCGCACAAGCAGUGGAGUAUGUGGUUUAAUUCGACGCAACGCGAAGAACCUUACCAAGUCUUGACAUCCUGCGACGAUGCUGGAAACAGUAUUUUCCUUCGGGACGCAGAGACAGGUGGUGCAUGGUUGUCGUCAGCUCGUGUCGUGAGAUGUUGGGUUAAGUCCCGCAACGAGCGCAACCCUUAUGGUCAGUUACUACGCAAGAGGACUCUGGCCAGACUGCCGUUGACAAAACGGAGGAAGGUGGGGAUGACGUCAAAUCAUCAUGCCCUUUAUGACUUGGGCUACACACGUACUACAAUGGCGUUAAACAAAGAGAAGCAAGACCGCGAGGUGGAGCAAAACUCAGAAACAACGUCCCAGUUCGGACUGCAGGCUGCAACUCGCCUGCACGAAGUCGGAAUUGCUAGUAAUCGUGGAUCAGCAUGCCACGGUGAAUACGUUCCCGGGCCUUGUACACACCGCCCGUCACACCAUGAGAGCCGGGGGGACCCGAAGUCGGUAGUCUAACCGCAAGGAGGACGCCGCCGAAGGUAAAACUGGUGAUUGGGGUGAAGUCGAAACAAGGUAGCCGUAGGAGAACCUGCGGCUG
This 1218-nucleotide ribosomal RNA is filed under the name metagenome. Its description in RNAcentral is "bacterial SSU rRNA". It matches the Rfam family "Bacterial small subunit ribosomal RNA", at positions 277 to 1520 of the family's 1533-position model. The record is from RNAcentral.